GUGCUUGCUUUGGCAGCACAUAUACUAAAAUUGGAACGCUAUGGAGAAGAUUAGCAUGGCCCCUGUGCAAGGAUGACACACAAAUUCAUGAAGCAUUUCAUAUUUUU
Small nuclear RNA from Monodelphis domestica (gray short-tailed opossum), 107 nucleotides. Lineage: Eukaryota; Metazoa; Chordata; Mammalia; Didelphimorphia; Didelphidae. The record is from Ensembl.